Molecule: ribosomal RNA, 264 nt
Filed under: uncultured archaeon
Lineage: Archaea
Description: partial 16S ribosomal RNA
Rfam family: Archaeal small subunit ribosomal RNA
Source: RNAcentral
ACACGACUACAUUAGAUACCCGGUAGUCCUAGCCGUAAACGAUACUCGCUAGGUGUCGGCCACGGUGCGACCGUUGUCGGUGCCGUAGGGAAGCCGUGAAGCGAGCCACCUGGGAAGUACGGCCGCAAGGCUGAAACUUAAACGAAUUGGCGGGGGAGCACCACAACGGGUGGAGCUUGCGGUUUAAUUGGAUUCAACGCCGGAAAUCUUACCGGGACCGACAGCAACAUGAAGGCCAGGCUGAAGACUUUGCCGGAUUAGCUG